CUCCAGCAUUGGCACAAUCUCAUAAAUUUUCUUCUCAUUCCUUUUCUAUUCUUCUCUCUGUUUGCAUUUCCCCUCCUUUUUAUUGUCCUCCUUAUAAGUGUUUAUCCAUGCUAGCAUUUCGAGUAAUGCUUCUCAUCAAAAAUUUUAAAAAAUAUUUUGAAUAUAUUAAGCCUCAAAAAUGGGGGUCUUGGGGCCGGCCCCGUGGCUGAGUGGUUAAGUUCUUGAGCUCCACUUCAGCGGCCCAGGGUUUUGCGGGUUUGGAUCCUGGGUAUGGACAUGGCACCAUUCGUCAGGCCACGUUGAGGAGGCACCCCACAUGCCACAACUAGAAGGACCCACAAGAAAAUGAAAAUAGCAGCCACGGUUGAGAGCGCUCACUGGCCUAGGUCAAAUAGACCUCAAUUUAAUCUGUGUGCUCCGUUUACCAGCUGUGUGACAUUCAGCAAUUGGCUUAACCUUCAUGAACCUGGAUUUCCUCAUCUGCCAAGCAUCACGCUCUUUAUGAUGACUGUGUCCUGUUCCGUUGUAUAAAUGUACUGUAAAUCAGGAUAGCUACUGUGCUGGACUCCAGGACACAGAUGUAAACAAGACGGACUUAUUCCCACCCUCACAGGUUAUAGUGUAGUAAGGAAUGUAGCCAAUUCCAAUGUAAUGCGACAAAUGCUUUGAUGGAGAAAGACUAGGAGCUAUAUGGAUGCACAGAAUGGGUACUGUCAGUGGUCUCAUGUGAGAAAGGCACAAGAGAGAUUAUCCUGAAGGAAGGGACAUCCAAGAUGAGACCAGAAAGAGUUCGCCAGGCCGAGGAUUAGCCUGUGCAGCUGCAGAGGAAGGAAGAGGGUAAAUGGAAGAGGCAUGUGGUGUGGAGAAUCGUUCUGGUAGAAGGAACAGCAUUUCUAAAGACCUAGAAGUGAGACAGUAGGGUAAAUUUGGGAAGCUAGAAGUAGUUCAACAUGACCGAAGCACAGAAUGCCGUGGAAAAAUGGAAGGAAAUCAGGCUGAAGCUCCUGAGGGGUCUUGCUGUUCCUAAGAAGGUGUUUUCACUUUACUGUCUCGUCCAGGCAGAGCCACCCGGGUAGGUAUGGGGUGCGGUCCCAUUUGCAUUUAGCAGUGUCACUCUGGCCAGAAUGUAGAGGACAGAGGAGAAGGAGCAACACUGGAGGCUACUGCAGGAAUCCAACCUGGAGCCGUGAUGGUGGUGGACAUAGACCCCAGAGAAUGACUGACAAGAUGUUUGACACAGCCUGGUGAUGAGGAGUGUUGUACCUCCAGCUUUGUUCUUUAUUCUCAGGAAUCCUUUGGCAAUUUGGGGUCUUUUGUUGUUCCAUAUAAAUUUUAGGAUUCUUUGUUCUAUUUUGGGAAAAUGUUGGAACUUUGAUAGGGAUUGCAUUGAUAAAUAUAUUUUAAUAAAUGAGAGAGAUUUGUUGUUUUAUUCUCAUUUAUUAUAUUUGCCCAGUUUUGGUGCCAAUGUUAUAUCACAUUUGAAAAUAAUUGGAUAGCUUUUCUUUCUUUUCAGUUCUCUGAGAUAUCUUGUAUGUGAUAGGGAUUUUCUGGUCUUUAAUGACUUGAUAAAAUUACAAUCUGGGCCUGAUGUGCUCUUAGGGAAAGGAUUUUUGAGUUUAAUUUUAAAGUAAGUUUCUUUAAUAACUAUUAAUUUAUUUAGGCUUUCU
Long non-coding RNA from Equus caballus (horse), 1667 nucleotides. The record is from Ensembl. NCBI's taxonomy places the organism in Eukaryota, Metazoa, Chordata, Mammalia, Perissodactyla, Equidae.